RNAcentral lists this ribosomal RNA (811 nucleotides) under uncultured bacterium. Its description in RNAcentral is "bacterial SSU rRNA". It matches the Rfam family "Bacterial small subunit ribosomal RNA", at positions 70 to 877 of the family's 1533-position model. The record is from RNAcentral.
CAUCGGAGAGCUUGCUCGAAGAUGGUGAGAGUGGCGCACGGGUGCGUAACGCGUGAGCAACCUACCUCUAUCAGGGGGAUAGCCUCUCGAAAGAGAGAUUAACACCGCAUAACAUCAACAGUUCGCAUGUUCAGUUGAUUAAAUAUUUAUAGGAUAGAGAUGGGCUCGCGUGACAUUAGCUAGUUGGUAGGGUAACGGCUUACCAAGGCGACGAUGUCUAGGGGCUCUGAGAGGAGAAUCCCCCACACUGGUACUGAGACACGGACCAGACUCCUACGGGAGGCAGCAGUAAGGAAUAUUGGUCAAUGGGCGGAAGCCUGAACCAGCCAUGCCGCGUGCAGGAUGACUGCCCUAUGGGUUGUAAACUGCUUUUGUCCGGGAAUAAACCUAGAUACGUGUAUCUAGCUGAAUGUACUGGAAGAAUAAGGAUCGGCUAACUCCGUGCCAGCAGCCGCGGUAAUACGGAGGAUCCGAGCGUUAUCCGGAUUUAUUGGGUUUAAAGGGUGCGUAGGCGGCCUAUUAAGUCAGGGGUGAAAUACGGUGGCUCAACCAUCGCAGUGCCUUUGAUACUGAUGGGCUUGAAUCCAUUUGAAGUGGGCGGAAUAAGACAAGUAGCGGUGAAAUGCAUAGAUAUGUCUUAGAACUCCGAUUGCGAAGGCAGCUCACUAAGCUGGUAUUGACGCUGAUGCACGAAAGCGUGGGGAUCGAACAGGAUUAGAUACCCUGGUAGUCCACGCCCUANACGAUGAUAACUCGAUGUUGGCGAUAGACAGCCAGCGUCCAAGCGAAAGCGUUAAGUUAUCCACCUGGG